ACGGGGGCAGCAGUGGGGGAUAUUGCGCAAUGGGGGAAACCCUGACGCAGCAACGCCGCGUGAAGGAAGAAGGUUUUCGGAUCGUAAACUUCUUUAAAUGGGGAAGAUAAUGACGGUACCCACAGAAUAAGCCACGGCUAACUACGUGCCAGCAGCCGCGGUAAUACGUAGGUGGCGAGCGUUGUCCGGAUUUACUGGGUGUAAAGGGCGUGUAGGCGGGACUUUAGGUCAGAUGUGAAAUACCGAGGCUUAACCACGGAGCUGCAUUUGAAGCCGGAGUUCUUGAGUGUCGGAGAGGAAAGCGGAAUUCCUAGUGUAGCGGUGAAAUGCGUAGAUAUUAGGAGGAACACCGGUGGCGAAGGCGGCUUUCUGGACGAUAACUGACGCUGAGGCGCGAAAGCGUGGGGAGCAAACAGGAUUAGAUACCCUGGUA
RNAcentral lists this ribosomal RNA (433 nucleotides) under uncultured Oscillospiraceae bacterium. RNAcentral's name for it is "partial 16S ribosomal RNA". It matches the Rfam family "Bacterial small subunit ribosomal RNA", at positions 341 to 792 of the family's 1533-position model. The record is from RNAcentral. Lineage: Bacteria; Bacillati; Bacillota; Clostridia; Eubacteriales; Oscillospiraceae.